This 72-nucleotide transfer RNA is filed under the name Toxocara canis (dog roundworm). It matches the Rfam family "tRNA". Rfam says of the family: Transfer RNA (tRNA) molecules are approximately 80 nucleotides in length. Their secondary structure includes four short double-helical elements and three loops (D, anti-codon, and T loops). Lineage: Eukaryota; Metazoa; Nematoda; Chromadorea; Rhabditida; Toxocaridae. The record is from Rfam by way of RNAcentral.
CGGGCAGUAGCUCAGUGGUAGAGCUCCCGAUUCAAAUGCGGGGAGACCUGGGUACGAUUCCUGGCUGCUUAC